This 632-nucleotide ribosomal RNA is filed under the name Mycolicibacter sp. Its description in RNAcentral is "bacterial SSU rRNA". It matches the Rfam family "Bacterial small subunit ribosomal RNA", at positions 118 to 749 of the family's 1533-position model. The record is from RNAcentral. Lineage: Bacteria; Bacillati; Actinomycetota; Actinomycetes; Mycobacteriales; Mycobacteriaceae.
UGGGUGAUCUGCCCUGCACUUCGGGAUAAGCUUGGGAAACUGGGUCUAAUACCGGAUAGGACUACGAAUCGCAUGGUUUGUGGUGGAAAGCUUUUGCGGUGUGGGAUGGGCCCGCGGCCUAUCAGCUUGUUGGUGGGGUGAUGGCCUACCAAGGCGACGACGGGUAGCCGGCCUGAGAGGGUGUCCGGCCACACUGGGACUGAGAUACGGCCCAGACUCCUACGGGAGGCAGCAGUGGGGAAUAUUGCACAAUGGGCGCAAGCCUGAUGCAGCGACGCCGCGUGGGGGAUGACGGCCUUCGGGUUGUAAACCUCUUUCACCAUCGGCGAAGCCCCGGGUUUUUGUCUGGGGUGACGGUAGGUGGAGAAGAAGCACCGGCCAACUACGUGCCAGCAGCCGCGGUAAUACGUAGGGUGCGAGCGUUGUCCGGAAUUACUGGGCGUAAAGAGCUCGUAGGUGGUUUGUCGCGUUGUCCGUGAAAUUCCCUGGCUUAACUGGGGGCGUGCGGGCGAUACGGGCAGACUGGAGUACUGCAGGGGAGACUGGAAUUCCUGGUGUAGCGGUGGAAUGCGCAGAUAUCAGGAGGAACACCGGUGGCGAAGGCCGGGUCUCUGGGCAGUAACUGACGCUGA